RNAcentral lists this long non-coding RNA (2116 nucleotides) under Apteryx haastii (Great spotted kiwi). RNAcentral's name for it is "lncRNA (ENSAHAG00000002448.1)". Lineage: Eukaryota; Metazoa; Chordata; Aves; Apterygiformes; Apterygidae. The record is from RNAcentral.
UCACCACGCUGCCAACCUUCAUGUGACCACGGCAAGGAGGUGUGUCAAGGCUCACGGGGCUCGCGGGCCGCUCCGCACCCGCUCCCCACCGCUGCUGAGAAAGGGUGUCUGGACGGGGAGCCACUGGGGAGACGAGCACUGGAGGGACAGCUCUUGCUGGCGCUCUGCUCAGCAGUGGGCGCUCCCAGCCCCAUAGUGUAUUUCCAAGAUGUUCCUAACUUGAAGGACGAACAUCAUUGCAAAACACUGAACCUCAGCGUUACAGUUCUUGUUURACUGGAGUAGGCAUGCAAGAAAGCCGGAGGGGCCCAAGAGAAGUUGUGGCUGCUUCCUUGAUGGUGUGUGAACCUUGUCAGGGGSAGGGUGAUUUUUGUGCCAAUGUCUGAGGAGGCAAGGUGUCAGCUUGUAAAAAAGAGUAAGUGCCAAAAGCCAGCUAUUGUUUUCUGGACUAGGCACGCAAGAAAAGAGGAGGGGCUGAAGACAACUUCUCUGCAAGAGCAAAUCUCAAGUGCUGGAGAGGACUAUAGAGGUGUGGUGAGGCGGGAGCAGUGUCCGGGUUUGUGAGCGGGGCCUUGUGCCUGUGCGCAGCCCUUGUGCCAUGCUUGUUGGCGUGCCAGUGGUGGGGUGGGUGCGUCUGGGGCUGGGGUGCUUGUCCCUCUUGCUGGGGAGAUGGUGCCUGUUGCUGAGGCCAUUGUCAGCGUUGCGCGGGGUGGCAGCGAGUUCCAUAUUCUGUGUUCCGUGUUCUGGUCGGCGUUGAGGGAGGCUGCCCUGGCUGCAGGCUUGGUGUCCUGCUGGGCAGCCGGCGUGCUGGCGGGGGGCCCAGCACCGUCAUCGGCCUGCGGUAGUGUGGGGGGCGCUGAGCUGUCUCUGGGCAUUGGGGCAGAGGGAGCUGUGGGSAUUUCCUCACGGCAACUUCUCUCCUCCUUUGCUUUGGUUUGUGCGGCGGCCGAGCGCGGCGCUGAGCACCUCCCAAGGACAUGCCAGGCUCAUGCGGCACAGGCGAGGGCACCGGUGUUGGCGUGUGGAGGGGUCCUGUGCUGUGUCAGAUGUAAGCAGCCGUAUGGUGGGCCCCGGAGGGUUGAGGGUGAUGGGCAGGGCUGGGAGAAACCUGAGGACCCUUUUGGGUGGUCCUGCCUGGUGCCUCGGGGSUCUCAAAGGAGUCCUGCACACUGGUGCCAGGAGGGUCCUGCGGGGCGGUCGGGGUGCGGGGGGCUUGUUUCUGGGGGAUCUGUGGCCUGGUGGCAGCCGCUGAUGGCCUCGCUCCUCCUUUUCCUUUGCCUGGUGGCCGAGUGUGGCUGCAAGCAGCUCCCGAGAACGUCCCGGGCACGUGUGGUGCCGUGCAGUGCACAGGCGAGAACGGCAGCGUUGGUGUGCGGAGGGGUGCCUUCGCCGCAGCACAGGUACGUGGCCCCGUUGCUGGACGCAGGGGGCAGGGGGUGCUGGGGAGUUUGGGGAGAGGUGGCAGGGCCCUUCUGGGUGCUCCCGCCUGGUGCCUUGGGCAUCUGCAUGGAGUGACCCAUUGUGGCGUGAAGGGAGGGAAGAAAGGCCCUUCCUUAGCUUGGUAAUUGAGGUUGGUGUGCCAGAGCCCCUUGUUCAAGGACUCUCCCUGAGUCAGUUUCACAAGCUGUAGAUUUUAUUAAAGCAACAGAUACCACAGGUUUGGAAUUGCCACUGAUAAAUGCACUUGCUGCAACAAUUUUUCUUUCUUUGAGCUCAAACUAGCAAUUAAGCACUUUCAAUAAUAAUAUAUUUCCCCACGUAAUGUCCGAUGUUGCUGGAGGUGCAAAUCUUACCAAAGUGGUGUCGCUGUUUGGGGGAGGGGAGAAGGAGGCUCGCUCGUCAGCAAUCUCCAGUGAACAGUUUGGGGGUUCAGUUUUCUUCCCUUCCAAAACUUUAGGGAGCUGUCCUCUCUUUUAUAGUCGCUGAGGGUGGGAUGUGGAAGCGCGGCAGUCAUACUUCAUUGGCUACAUUGCCAUUUGCGCAAUUGUUGUGGGGUAUGCCCCCCUUAUUUACAUAUCAUUAUGCAGCAAAGGGCAUGGUUUUUAAUACGGUAAUCGGGGAUACUGAGGCUAGAGGCACUAUAGGUCAACACUUAGUCUGUGAUCAGCAAAUUUUU